This is an RNA transcript of Hordeum vulgare subsp. vulgare (domesticated barley), 1973 nucleotides long. It is a transcript of the gene named probable DNA primase large subunit, with no coding region annotated. The transcript is spliced from 21 exons. The record is from RefSeq and is a predicted model, not a curated record. Lineage: Eukaryota; Viridiplantae; Streptophyta; Magnoliopsida; Poales; Poaceae.
ACUCCCCACCCCCGCCGCAGAGGAGAGGGAGAGAGAGAGAGAGAGAGAGGCUCAUUCCGCCGCGCUUGGAACCAAACACCCACAGCCAUGGAGAUCGUGCGAUCCCAACGGCAGCUCGCGGCAGCAGCCGCAGCUGCCAGCGGCGGAGGCAGCGGCGCGGGGGCUCUGCCAACGUACCGUGUGGCGCCGCAGCUGGAGGUGCGCCUGGAGGAGUUCGAGCUCUUCGCCAUCGACCGCCUCCGAGUCCUGAAGGGUAUCUCGGAUGGGCUAUCGCGGGGGAAGAGGCCCGAGGAGAUGGAGAAACUGGUAAGCGAGUUGUGGAAGGCACAUAUGAGGCACCAGGAUCCAGCAGAGACUUUAAACAAGGACAUAAUAUCUCACUUUGUACUCCGUCUUGUAUACUGCAGAACGGAGGAAUUGCGCAAGUGGUUUCUCUCCAUGGAAAAUACACUGUUUCGGUACCGCUUUCGUCUCGAGAGUCCUGAAUCACAGAGGCUUCUUAUGAGUGAGUUUCAGCUUCCAUACAAAGCAUUGCCACACUCGGAAUUCGAGGCUGUGAAAGAUAAGUUAAGCCAAGUUGCACGUUCCAUCAGUCAAUCUACAAGCGUUGAAUCUGUGUUCUUCAAGGUACCUUUUGAAGAAGUUCCAGAUCUUGUUGCCAACCGCCGAGUAUUCCUUUCAAAGGGCUAUGCUUAUGUUGCGAUGAGUCAGGUGGUUUCACUUGUGGUAACCCAAUUCCGCUGCAAUAUAUCAAAGGCACUUGUUUUAACAAAUAGGAAAUGGACUGCGACCAUUAAGGAACAAGAAAAGGACAGGUUGACUCCUAUUGUUGAGGCGUUAAGCAAUGCAUAUUUUGGACCUGAUUACUCUCAGAAAACUGAUGCUGCUGAGAUUUCGCCAAAGGAUAUUGAUCAACUGGCUAGAACUUCUUUCCCUCUUUGUAUGCGCCAUAUGCUAGAGAAGUUGAGGGAAAACCAUCAUCUCAAACACGGGGGUAGAAUGCAGUUUGGUCUUUUCCUCAAGGGUGCUGGGCUAAAGCUGGAGGAUGCUGUCACAUUUUGGAGAUCGGAAUUCUCUCAGAAGGUUGGCUCUGAGCGAUUUGACAAGGAAUAUGCAUAUGGUAUCAGACACAAUUAUGGAAAAGAAGGAAAACGAACGGAUUACACUCCAUAUUCAUGUCAAAAGAUCAUCUCUGCGACACCUGGUGUUGGUGAUCACCAUGGUUGCCCUUAUCGACAUUUUGGUGAAGAGAACUUGAGAGCAGCUCUCAACAAUAUGGGUGUCAGUGGAAAUGCUUUGGAAGGGAUACUGGAUAAAGUGAAGAACAGGCAUUACCAGCUAGCUUGCACAAUGACUUUUGAGGCAACUCACGGUGUCUCAUGUGAUACCGGAAUCAAUCAUCCUAAUCAGUAUUUCAGCGAAAGCCAGAAAGUCUUGCAAGCCAAGAACCAAACAGUACAGAGUCAGUUAUCGACCUAAGUUGGGAUGCUCCUGCAGAUAGUAGUCCGUCCACCAAGUAGAAACUCAGGAUCAAUGUUGGCUGAGCUGAUAAGGUUUUACAAGCCAAACCUUUGGUGAAUGGGUAAAAAUUCAUCAUUCCAAAAACCAUGACCGAGUUGUGCGAUGUCCAAUAAUUCCAGCAGCUCGGUGUCGAAUCAAGAGUGGUGCUUGACUGCACGUUGCCAGUUCAUGGAGAUCAAAUUUGCUCAUGUUUAGCCUGAUAUGUGUCCCGCUGGGAUUCGGUGAGUUUCAACUGCCGAUCCAUGGCGUUGCAUCCUGUACUACUAUUAGCAACAGAAGAGAAACUUAUCUAUUGUCGUACAACAGUUGUCAAAAUCAGAGCGAAUCGAGACUGAUAUGGUUUUUGGUAAUACUGUAAUCUUCUGGUACCACCGACUUUUGAACGCCCUGACUAGUUGUGCUGCUUCUUGGAGAGGAAUGUUAUGGAGUACGUAUGGAUGUUCUUCAUUUCA